GACGAACGCUGGCGGCGUGCUUAACACAUGCAAGUCGAACGGAAAGGCCCUGCUUUUGUAGGGUGCGCGAGUGGCGAACGCGUGAGUAACACGUGAGUAACCUGCCCUUUACUUUGGGAUACCUUCAGGAAACUGGAGCUCAUACCGGAUAGGAGCUCCUUCUGCAUGGUGGGGGUUGGAAAGUUUCGGCGUUUGGGGAUGGACUCGCGGCUUAUCGGCUUAUUGGUGGGGUAGUGGAUUACCAAGGCUUUGACGGGCUGCCGGCCUGAGAGGGUGACCGGGCACAUUGGGACUGGGAUAGGGCCAGUACUCCAACGGGAGGCAGCAGUGGGGGACAUUGCACAAUGGGCGGAAGCCGUAUGCAGCAACGCCGCGUGCGGGAUGACGGCCUUCGGGUUGUAAACCGCGUGCGCCUGUGACGAAGCGUGAGUGACGGUAAUGGGUAAAGAAGCAACGGCUAACUACGUG
RNAcentral lists this ribosomal RNA (468 nucleotides) under uncultured bacterium. Its description in RNAcentral is "partial 16S ribosomal RNA". It matches the Rfam family "Bacterial small subunit ribosomal RNA", at positions 28 to 507 of the family's 1533-position model. The record is from RNAcentral.